Mustela erminea (ermine) is the source of this 1735-nucleotide long non-coding RNA. RefSeq lists it as uncharacterized. The transcript is spliced from 3 exons. Lineage: Eukaryota; Metazoa; Chordata; Mammalia; Carnivora; Mustelidae. The record is from RefSeq and is a predicted model, not a curated record.
UAAAUCAUGCUUAGGUUUAUGGUCCUGGGGGCCUCUGCUCUCCUGGGAAGUGUUUCUGACUCCAAGCAGGUGUCCUCAUGUCCUAAGACUCUCACCCCACAUUUCUCUUUUUCUUUGCCUCACUCUUCCUUCUGUCCAAAAUUGGCCUUGAUUUCUUAUUUCCUUCCCCUUUUUACUUCUUUGAAAGCCGUAGGUUCACUAGUAGGAGGGAAAUGCUGAGAAAAGAGGUUGAAUGCCCACUCUGUAUCCUUUUGAACACCCAGUCUGUAUCCUUUUGUAUUUGAGGUGAAAAGAGACCUGGUGAGCUAACUUACAGUGGGAGUGAUGGAAGGUUAUAGGAGUGGCAGGCAUGAAGGAAAGGGAAGAGGGAGGUACAGAAAGAACAUGUUGGCUGGGCUCUAUGUGUCAGAGCUGAUCUCACAAAGGCGUAUUCUCCCUAAUGAGGGAAGAUGGGUUUCUGGCCUAUAGAAGACAGAGCAGUAGAGGGGAAGUGCUUGGCAAGGAGGAGACUGCUGGCAGCUGGCACCUGUUGUAGGGAACUGGGCCACUCACCUUCAGUGCCUCUUGGCAGCAAGGCAACGGACUUCCUAAUGGAGACUGAGGAAGCCGGAACUCGGAGAGAUAAUGAACUGAAAUAGGAUUCCUGUCUGAAUUGAAAGUCAGAGCUGGUGGUAAUGAAUGCAGUUGUCUCCACUGAGCCUGGAAACUGCACUCAACAUGGAAUUUUGUGAAAUGAAGCCUUCCUUCUAGUGCAACAGAUUAUGAGGAGAAGAAUAUAUGUUUAAAUCGCUGUUAAACUGAGUUAAGCAAACUUAGGCGGUAGCCUUCCACCUCAACAGAUCGAUCCUGCAAGCUAGGUGUUCAGACAUCCUGAGAGGCUUGACGGAGGCUUAACAUCUUGCUGAGUCUUCCAGCAACCUCUGAAACGAAACAGGUGCUAAAAUCUUUCUGCCAUCUAGGAGCUUAAGCAUCUUAAGGGCAACCCAAGACUAUUGUCCAAGGCUGUUUCUCUGAAUGGACAGAUAUCCUCAAAUUGGAAGGUUGUGUUAUUAAUGGGAGAGCAAAAGCAGGGGGAGAGUUGCAAGCACUCUGGAAAUCCAGAGAGAUGUUUUCCUGGGCUGGGGAGUAUCGGCAAAAAAGCCUAGACUCUGGAGCACAUUAAAAGAAGGAACUGAAGGAAUAUUUAUCCUAUAACAAUGUUGGAUAACACGUCUUUUGAUCCUGAACUUCCCAACAUCAUUAACAUUUCUACUGCAUUGAAUGGAAAAAAACAUUCUGGACUGCAGAGAUUUUACCCUUAAGAGAAACUUCCUUCUUGUUCUGAAUUUUAUACGACAGAAAAAUCAUCUACAAACGCACUGGAAAUACUGGAAAAUAGUAUCACUGAGGUCUGAUGAUCAAUCUUCUCAGGAAUGGUCUGGAAAACAAAAAAGCAGGGAGAACAAACUUUGCUAGAAGAAAUUUAAGUGCACUGGGGGAGCAGAGGUGGGGCAGCUCUACCAUGAUCUUGACAAAGAAGCAAAAUGGGAUACUCAAGGCACCACUCAAUUCUCCCAUCCACAUCUACACGUGCGGUGGCCUUGGAUUCCCAUCAGAGCCCACAUGCUAUGACGUCUGGAGAUUGGUGAGAUCCGUGUAGCCACCUCAGAUACAGUCUGUAGGUUGUCAGAUUGGGACCCCUGUGACUCAUGAAGAUAUUUACAGGGAGUAGCCAGCUCUGCAGGAAUGAGGAGGA